GGGACCUUCUCGCACAUCCCUCCUUCUCCCUGGACCUCUCUUCACUCCCCCAGCCCCUGCCCGUGGUCUCCCUGUUUCUCAAACACCUGGUCCCCUUCCCCGUGAAGGUGGCUCCAAGGCUGGCAGCCCCCGUGUCCCUGGCUGGGGAGCAGUGGACCUGCCCCAGAGCUGUGGCUGUGGUGGGCUCCGGGCAGGGCCAGGGGGCACUGUGGCCUGGGAGGGGGCACUGAUGCCUGGCCUCUUGCCAGCCCUUCCCCAACAGCACCAACUUGCUGCCCACGGAGAUCAGCCAGUCCCUGCUGUACCGGGGGCCCGUGGACCCUGCCAACUGGUUUGGGGUGCGGAAAGGGUUCCCCAACCUGGGCUACAUCCAGAACCACCUGCAAGUGCUGCUGCUGCUGGUAUUCGAGGCCAUCGUGUACCGGCGCCAGGAGCACUACCGCCGG
This 446-nucleotide long non-coding RNA is filed under the name Homo sapiens (human). RNAcentral's name for it is "non-protein coding lnc-RNF166-5:1". Lineage: Eukaryota; Metazoa; Chordata; Mammalia; Primates; Hominidae. The record is from RNAcentral.